RNAcentral lists this unclassified non-coding RNA (315 nucleotides) under uncultured fungus. Its description in RNAcentral is "partial contains small subunit ribosomal RNA, internal transcribed spacer 1, and 5.8S ribosomal RNA". The stretch from base 1 to 73 matches the Rfam family "Eukaryotic small subunit ribosomal RNA", at positions 1759 to 1831 of the family's 1831-position model. Lineage: Eukaryota; Fungi. The record is from RNAcentral.
UCAAACUUGGUCAUUUAGAGGAAGUAAAAGUCGUAACAAGGUUUCCGUAGGUGAACCUGCGGAAGGAUCAUUACAGAGUACUGGGGCCUCCAGCCUCUACUCCCACCCUUUGUGAACCUUUUUAUAACUGUUGCCUUGGGCGGGCCGGGCACCUUGUGUGCCUGCUGGCGUCACCCGCUGGAGAGCGCCCGCCAGAGGACUGGUCUUUGAAACUCUUUUUUAAGAACAUGGAGUUGUCUGAGUUUUAAGAUUGAAAAUGGAGUGAAAACUUUCAACAACGGAUCUCUUGGUUCUGGCAUCGAUGAAGAACGCAGC